RNAcentral lists this ribosomal RNA (459 nucleotides) under uncultured bacterium. RNAcentral's name for it is "partial 16S ribosomal RNA". It matches the Rfam family "Bacterial small subunit ribosomal RNA", at positions 28 to 507 of the family's 1533-position model. The record is from RNAcentral.
GAUGAACGCUGGCGGCGCGCCUAACACAUGCAAGUCGAACGGCACCCCUCCUCGGAGGGAAGCGAGUGGCGAACGGCUGAGUAAAACGUGGAGAACCUGCCCCCUCCCCCGGGAUAGCCGCCCGAAAGGACGGGUAAUACCGGAUACCCCGGGGUGUCGCAUGGCACCCCGGCUAAAGCCCCGUCGGGGGGGGAUGGGUCCGCGGCCCAUCAGGUAGACGGCGGGGUGAGGGCCUAGCGUGCCGACAACGGGUAGCCGGGUUGGGAGACCGACCGGCCAGGUUCUGACUGAGACACGGCCCUGACUCCGACGGGAGGAGGCAGUAGGGAAUCUUGCGGGAUGGGGGCCACCCUGAGCAAGCGACGCCGCGUGCGGAACGGCGUCCGUCGGGUCGUAAACCGCUUUCAGCACGGAAGAGUCAAGACUGUACCUGCAGAAGAAGCCCCGGCUAACUACGUG